RNAcentral lists this ribosomal RNA (468 nucleotides) under uncultured bacterium. RNAcentral's name for it is "partial 16S ribosomal RNA". It matches the Rfam family "Bacterial small subunit ribosomal RNA", at positions 28 to 507 of the family's 1533-position model. The record is from RNAcentral.
GACGAACGCUGGCGGCGUGCUUAACACAUGCAAGUCGAACGGAAAGGCCCUGCUUUUGUGGGGUGCUCGAGUGGCGAACGGGUGAGUAACACGUGAGUAACCUGCCCUUGACUUUGGGAUAACUUCAGGAAACUGGGGCUAAUACCGGAUAGGAGCUCCUGCUGCACGGUGGGGGUUGGAAAGUUUCGGCGGUUGGGGAUGGACUCGCGGCUUAUCAGCUUGUUGGUGGGGUAGUGGCUUACCAAGGCUUUGACGGGUAGCCGGCCUGAGAGGGUGACCGGCCACAUGGGGACUGAGAUACGGCCCAGACUCCUACGGGAGGCAGCAGUGGGGAAUAUUGCACAAUGGGCGGAAGCCUGAUGCAGCAACGCCGCGUGCGGGAUGACGGCCUUCGGGUUGUAAACCGCUUUCGCCUGUGACGAAGCGUGAGUGACGGUAAUGGGUAAAGAAGCACCGGCUAACUACGUG